Molecule: ribosomal RNA, 567 nt
Filed under: Dehalococcoidia bacterium
Lineage: Bacteria; Bacillati; Chloroflexota; Dehalococcoidia
Description: bacterial SSU rRNA
Rfam family: Archaeal small subunit ribosomal RNA
Source: RNAcentral
GUAAGCAGUACGCCGGGGGUAAUGGUAAAAUAUGUUAAUCCUCGGUGGACUAACAAUGAGCGAAGGCAGCUUACGAGGACGAAUCUGACAGUGAGGGAUGAAGGCCAGGGGCGCAAAACGGAUUAGAUACCCGUGUAGUCCUAGCAGUAAACACUGCUCACUAAACAUCGGUACCUCUUCGAGAGGUAUCGGUGCUGUAGGGAAGCCGAAGAGUGUGCUACCUGGGAAGUAUAGUCGCAAGGCUGAAACUUAAAGGAAUUGGCGGGGAGACACUACAAUGGGUGACGCGUGCGGUUCAAUUAGAUUAUACACCGUGAACCUCACCAGGAGCGACAGCAGAAUGAAGGUCAGUCUGAAGGGCUUACCUGACACGCUGAGAGGAGUUGCAUGGCCGACGUCAGCCUGUGUCGUGAGAUGACCUGUUAAAUCAGGUAACAGGCAAGACCCACAUGUCUAUUUGUUAUUACUAUAGACAGAUUGCCUUGGUAACAAGGAUGAAAGCGUGGGCUACGUUAGGUGAGUACGGCCCGAACCCCCUGGGCGACACGCGCGCGUCAAUGGUGAAUA